Long non-coding RNA from Cynara cardunculus var. scolymus (artichoke), 544 nucleotides. RefSeq lists it as uncharacterized. The record is from RefSeq and is a predicted model, not a curated record. The transcript has 3 exons. Lineage: Eukaryota; Viridiplantae; Streptophyta; Magnoliopsida; Asterales; Asteraceae.
AUGGAUUGGCGGACUGUUGAUUGUUGAUGCCUGUUCUCCUUGUUAUGCCACUAGAGCAAAGGGGUAUACAGGAUUUUUAUGGACUUAUGGUUUCUGGUUCUUUUUGGUUUCAAGACUAAUCAGUAUUAUAUUUGCUGUCUUUGUUUGUUUGUUGUUGUUCAGAUUGAUUGAUAUAUUGGGUGUCAAAUCCUUCUCUGCGGCAGAUCUGUGAUCGACAUUGCUUGUUUUGCAGGCUGAGUGCAAAGAAAGAAAAUCUGAAGAAUGGCUGCUUUUUGCAAGUGAAUUCUACUACAUGAGAUGAGCAGAAACGAGGAAAAGAAAUAUGAAGAGUCUGGAUAUUGGGUUUUAUGGCAAUAACGAUGUUGAGGGUUCAAGGCUGAACAGGAAUUCACAGAGAAUUACUAAUGCUGGAGGGAAUGCAGAUGCAUUGAAUCCUUCAGCUUGUUCACGUUCAUCAAGCUUUACGAAGUAUGGUAAUGGGGAGGAAGUGUCACUCAAUAAUUUAGCCCUGGGUUACUUGAUCUUCAUGCCAUCGACACGGAGC